Molecule: ribosomal RNA, 253 nt
Filed under: uncultured bacterium
Lineage: Bacteria
Description: partial 16S ribosomal RNA
Rfam family: Bacterial small subunit ribosomal RNA
Source: RNAcentral
UACGUAGGGGCCUAGCGUUGUUCGGAAUUACUGGGCGUAAAGGGCUCGUAGGCGGCCAACUAAGUCAGACGUGAAAUCCCUCGGCUUAACCGGGGAACUGCGUCUGAUACUGGAUGGCUUGAGGUUGGGAGAGGGAUGCGGAAUUCCAGGUGUAGCGGUGAAAUGCGUAGAUAUCUGGAGGAACACCGGUGGCGAAGGCGGCAUCCUGGACCAAAUCUGACGCUGAGGAGCGAAAGCCAGGGGAGCAAACGGG